This 253-nucleotide ribosomal RNA is filed under the name uncultured bacterium. RNAcentral describes it as "partial 16S ribosomal RNA". It matches the Rfam family "Bacterial small subunit ribosomal RNA", at positions 524 to 776 of the family's 1533-position model. The record is from RNAcentral.
GACAGAGGUGCCGAGCGUUAGGCGGAAUCACUGGGCUUAAAGCGUGUGUAGGCGGGUCGUUAAGUACCUUGUGAAAUCCCACGGCUUAACCGUGGAACUGCUCGGUAUACUGGCGAUCUUGAGCCACUUAGGGGUCAGCGGAACAAAUGGCGGAGCGGUGAAAUGCGUAGAUAUCAUUUGGAACGCCAAUGGUGAAAACAGCUGACUGGGAGUGUGCUGACGCUGAGACACGAAAGCCAGGGGAGCGAACGGG